GGUUCUGUGGCUUAGUUGGUUAAAGUGCCUGUCUAGUUAACAGGAGAUCCUAGGACCAAAUCCCAGCAAUACCU
This is a non-coding RNA of Ameiurus melas (black bullhead), 74 nucleotides long. The record is from the annotation of a GenBank genome assembly. NCBI's taxonomy places the organism in Eukaryota, Metazoa, Chordata, Actinopteri, Siluriformes, Ictaluridae.